GGCCGCCCCCGCCCCUGGCCGCCACUCCCACCGGCGUGGCCACCUCCGGCCACGCCCGCCCCCGGUCGCCGCUCCCGCCGGCGCGGCCACCUCUGGCCCCGCCCUCGCCCGCUGCGGCCGCCCCGUUGCAUUGCACGGCUCUGAGUCCUAGACGACCUCGUUCCCCUCCACCGUCUCGCCUCUCUCUUGGUUCCUCGCGGUGACGAUUGGGAGAGCGCCUCCUCUCCUCCCUCACUCCCUCCGUGAGCUCCUCGCCGGUGGCGCGCGCUGACACCCGUUGCCACGUCUUCUCCGCUGACAUGGGCUCACCAGGUAUGCCCCUGCCCCUCUCCGGGCCAUCCAUUCCCGCUGCGCGGAAUCGAACACCCCAAACCCUAAUGCAUUAUCUAUAGUCAGAUCUGGCCCAGUUGCGAGUGCACGCAUGCUGUCUGCUAACUUCCAGUUUUCACAAAGUUAUCCGGUAUAUACAUGUCCUAUGCUGGUUCCGCCCUUUUGGACAGCAUGAUUAUGAUACUAGCACGGUUAAUUUUCAGGGGUGGGGGAUUAUGGGUCUCAAUUUCAUUUUCAUCCCCCAUGCCAAUGCUGUCGUGACUCGUGUUGUUGGUUGUCCUUGCACAGGGGACUCAUAUGGAAUAGAGAUUUUUGCCCUGGUGGCAUAAUUUUUGGAAACUAAAUUGUGUUCGGUGUGAGAGCUAUGUGCUUAGCUUUCUCCUGAGAGGUAAAUUGGACUUUGGCGUGAGCCCAAAAUGGAGGCACUUCAGAACAUGACACUGUAUCGCGGUAACCCACUUGACUUUUUGGAUAACUACAAUUCUACCUCACCCUCACUGGAGCUAGCUAGAUAGAUAGGUCCGGGUGCUAGGAAAUCCAAUGUUUCUGCAUCAGAGCAUUCUAUAUUUCGUUGAUAAAUCAAUAUUGCUGAGCCGUUGUAAUGUUCUUUCCUUUUCAUCAUGAUUUUGUUGCCAUCUUUUAUGAUGUACCUAGUUAACCACUAUUCAGUAGCGUUUAUGUUAUAUUAUUUAAUUAUUGUUGUGAGAUGUCCUAUUUGGUAUUUUUUUGUUAUAUUCCCAGCUGCCUAGCGCAGAUACACAUCCUACUUAUCCAGUUAUUGGAAUCUUAUGUUGCCAUUGGCUGGUUAUCUAGCCGUGAGACACUUUUAUUCUUUUUCCAAACCAUACCAACUUUUAGAUCCAAUGAAGGCUGCCAACUUGACGCAAGGUGUUCAAGAAAUUUAAAUCAUGCACUCUUCAUAGUAAGUUCAAGGCAAUAUUUGUGUUAAUCUUGGGGACCUCCAGUAGAUUGCUGAGAGUUUUCCUUGAUAUAGGGGAAUAAAGAUCCAAAUAAGUUUUUGACAUUGAUCUGUAGCCAGUACUGCAAUGGCUACGAAGCUUGUAGUAAUUUACCAACCCUUCUUUCCUUUGUAAGAUUCUAUAUAUGAAUGUCACACUCGAGGGAUAACGAGGAUGCACAAUUGAUGCACCUAGGUUCUCGGUAUCCCCUGGGAUGUUGACAGUGAAGGGUUAAGAGGUAAUUUAAUUAUUUUUUAUCUUGUAUUUUUUGACUGGCUUGAAAUUUACUAUUUUAUUUUUAAUAUUUGUGCUGUUCAAUUACAGUUGGUUCCUAGUUCAUUUUUGUACAUAGGCAUGCAAUAUUAGCCAUUUUUGUAUGUUCAUCUGUUGCUUGCACUAUUUGAUCGCUAUAUAUGCUGAUUGACAUGCUUAUUUAUGACCAUAUUUCUUGCAUAUAAAAAUAACAGGAGCGGUCUUCUAGGCGACCUCGCGGGUUUGGCUAUGUAACAUUCGCCUCAACUGACGAUGCAAAGGUAGUAUAAUAAUGAAGAUAAUCCUUCAUUUUAUCCACGCAUGUUGUAUAAUAAAUUAUGUGUGUAAUUCUAUCUUUAACUGGAAUUCAUAUGCAGUUGUUUCAUGGUGCCCAUUUUAAAUGAGUUUUCUGAAUCACUGCAUUACCCUUUCAGAAUGUUCUGGGAGCCGUACAUUAGAAGUGAAGAUAGCUAUUCCAAAGGUAAAAACAUAUAAAAGUCGUACAUUUUCUUUUUGAAUCUGUCGUGUUCUUACUUGUUUUGUAGGUACACAAUGUUUGCUAACAUCAUUAUCCUUGGUCUUCACCUCCAUCUACACCUACCGAACAUCAGGUAUGCAAAUUCAUCAUCAUUUACUUGUUGUUAGUUAUAUUAUGAUGUAACUCAGCAAAUAUCAUUUGUACAUGUAUAUUAGACCCCUCCAGCUACCUUGCCGACGCAUGAACGAGAAGACGAGUCAGACUUUGUCGAAACCCUCUUCGCUAGUGGAGGUAUCGACCAUCACUCUUCACUGUAACCCGAUGGUGAUCGGCGUCCGUGAGCUUCCAUGUUAUUGUGUUCUGAUACUUGAGACUUUUAUUAUGACUAUGUAUGAGAUAUUGUCUCUUAUUAGUACUGGAUGAGAUGUGUCUUAUUAUGACUAUGGAUGAGACUUUUGUGAUGUAAUUAAUGAGACUAUGGAUUUAAAUAUUGUUAUGUGAUUAUG
RNAcentral lists this long non-coding RNA (2525 nucleotides) under Zea mays. Its description in RNAcentral is "long non-coding RNA (ZMAY_LNC003518)". The record is from RNAcentral. Lineage: Eukaryota; Viridiplantae; Streptophyta; Magnoliopsida; Poales; Poaceae.